CAGGAAGUCUGCUGAGGUUAUGGACGCCUCUGCUCUUUGGCUGACUGACACCUCUUGGGACAGUAAUCACUGUGCUUUGAGCACGGCUUUCCCAGGACGUGGCACAGUGAAGGUCCCUGGAGUGGGCUCAGGUCAGCUCACGCCCCUAAGUACUCGGGGGACCUGGAGAGCCUGGUGUGAAGGAAGCUUGGCUUAGCUCAGACCGUGGCACUGUGUCCCAUGUGAGGAGUGCCACACAUCAGGACCCAGGUCCCUGCUGGGAGGAGGAGCCAGUCACUCUUCACGGUCUCUUUCCUCUUAGCCAAGGUAAGUGACAGGACUCUGGGGGACUUUGGUCACCCUACAUGCAGCCCAUGCCUCCUGAAGUCCCGGCAGUGGCUCUCAGUACCUACUGUUCCACAGCUCAGGGACGUGCAUCACUGGAGCUCUGGGCUUGAGUGGCUGGCCAACAACAUGGAGGGGGGACAGAGGAGGAGGCCAAAGAACACUCCGUGGAGGGUGUGCAAGCUGGUGGGAGACAGGACAGGAGCACAGGAAUCCUGUUGGGAUGGGAAGGUUUGGGUGCAGCUCAGGCUGGGGGCAGAACUAGGGGAGCCCAUGCAGAAGUGGUGACAUGAGACCUGGAAAAUGAGUGGGGGCUUCUCAGGGUGAGAGAGGAGGGGUUGUGCCAGGCAGAGGAGGAGCAAAGCUGAUGCACAGAGUGGGCCCGGGAGUCUCCUGCAGCCACUGGAGCUACCGUGGGGAAGGGCAGCACAGAUAAGGCGGUGGGCAGCUGCAGCCACAUGGCGACCACUGGUGCUCUGCCCCCUGGACACCCCCGUCUAGCUAUUCCAAGUUGUCUCACAGAGAGCCUUUGAGUUACAAGGACACGCGCCCCCUGUCAGUAUUAUGGAAAUUCUUGGGGAUUAACCGCUGUCCUCAGAGUCAGUGGGAUGGUGCAGCCAUCUUACUGAUUGUCAGAGGGAGUUUGGACGAGAUGAAGUCAAGAAAAGUGUCUGCGUCUAGAGUCCUUAGAUGUUAGGUGUCCCCCCAAAGCUCAUGUGUGAGACAAUGCAAGGUUCAGGCUUGGGUUCUGAGAGCCUUAACCCAGUCGGUGAAUGAAUCCCUGAUGGGAUUAGCUGAG
This 1123-nucleotide long non-coding RNA is filed under the name Marmota monax (woodchuck). The record is from RNAcentral. Lineage: Eukaryota; Metazoa; Chordata; Mammalia; Rodentia; Sciuridae.